This is an RNA transcript of Mytilus californianus (California mussel), 5035 nucleotides long. It is a transcript of the gene named UPF0394 inner membrane protein YeeE-like, with no coding region annotated. Lineage: Eukaryota; Metazoa; Mollusca; Bivalvia; Mytilida; Mytilidae. The record is from RefSeq and is a predicted model, not a curated record. The transcript is spliced from 12 exons.
CCUCUUGUUAACGUAUACUAUAGGUAUACAAGUGAGCUGAUUUGAUAUAAAACCAAUCUAUACACUGAAAGAAAUACAAAUAGGUUUUUUUUUUUUAUCUAUUCGAUUAUUUAGUAUAAUAUGAAUACAGAGAUUGUUUAAACAUGCAACGGAAAUAAGAAGCGGAUUUUUGUUUUCCUAUACGAAAGGAGGUUCGUGUUGAAAUAAUUAAUUUAUAACUUUAACAUUUGAAACGUGUAGUACUUAUUACUUGGUUCAUGUGAAAUAUAAAUUGUUGAUAAGUGGGAUACUGUUUGACAUUUCAUUGUUACUUCGGAUACACAUCAUCUGGUAAAACAUUGCAUAUAAAAGAUUGUACCACAUGUUUCAUGCUAUUUGUGUUGCAUGUUUUAAAAGAAUAACGGAUAUUACUCUGCUAAGACAAAUGCAACUGCGAUAAUUCUGGGACAGAAGCAAGAAGGCGAUUACAAGACUUCUGGAAUUAAACACCACAGCCUCAAUAUACGGUAUGCCAUAGACAGCAAACAGUGGAAGGAUAAUGCCUCGCUAAGAUUCGAUGAUAAACGUGCAUUUCUUACAAGAAAUAUGUAGUGUGAAAGAUAAAACGAAGCCUAUUAUCAGAAAUCGAUAUUUUGACAAAUUUUAAUAUACUGAUAGACAAAUCUUCAACAAUGGCAUUCGACAAAACACAAAUUAAAAAGACAAAAUCUUCAGUCACAGUUAUUCAUGUGGCGGGAAUGGAGAAAGAGCAGACGGACAUAUCCAAUGGAUCGUCUGCAGACAGUGAAACUAAAUUUCCACUGGAUUCCAAAACGUCCUUGAAACAGAAGGACUCUGCAUUGACAGUUUUCUUGAAAUUACUGAUAUCUAGUAUUUGUGGAAUAAUAUUUGGAUUUGCAAUGGAAAAAGCAAGAGUCUUCGAACCAAUAUCAAUAAGAAAACAGAUGGUGUUUGAGAUGUUCAUUAUGCUGAAGACAUUCUUAGCGGCAGUGGCAGCAGGACAGUUGUGUUUUGUGAUAUUGUCUAUAAUUCCCCCAGUCAAGGAGAAGUUUGUACAUGCUUUAGAGGAAUAUACUAGUUGUUUUUCACAAAAGACUCUCUUUACAUCAGCACUUGGAGCUUUCAUUUUAGGAAUCGGCAUGGCAUUGUGCGGAGCUUGCCCUGCCAUGGUUUUAAUACAGAUAGGUACAUGGGUACCGAAUGCAAUAUUUACACUAAUAGGUUGCUUACUUGGAGCCUUGACCUACGGAAUGAUCGCCCCUUUUGUAGAAAGAUUAACGAGACCCAAGAACCCAACGGAAAAACACAGUGUUCCAGCGACAUUUAAGAUACCAUUUUUUGCACUGGCAUUACCAAUGAGUAUUUUAAUAGGAAUAGUAGGUUUUAUAAUGGAAUGGUUCUGGCCCUGGACCAAAGAUACAGACUUAAUUCAUAGAAGUAAUCCAGCCACGGCUAAUGUUUUUACAGCAGUGUCAUGGCCGCCAUAUGCUUCUGGUAUAAUCCUAGGAGUUAUACAGUUACCGUUAGUUUUAUUUGUACAAGACACAUUAGGUGGAAGCAGUGCCUUCGUCACAGUGAUGUCACAAUGGGUUGUAACAGACAAAUUACAGAAAAUCUUUCCUUAUCUUGCCAGUAAAAGAUUAGGCGUUGGUAAUUGGUGGCAGGUAUUUUUAGUGUGUGGAGCAGUAAUUGGAGGGUUAAUAUCAGCGUCGGCGUCAUCAUCAUUAACAAUCGCUUAUGGUGCACCAGCACAUGUAGCAUUUUUCGGUGGAUUUUUUCUCAUAUUUGGAGCACGAUUUGCUUCAGGAUGUACAAGUGGUCAUGGGAUAUCAGGCAUGGCGUUGUUAGUGUGGAUGUCAUUUGUAGCUGUUCCUUUUAUGUUUGGAGGGGGGAUAGCAACAUCUUUUGCCAUGCAAGCAACCGGUGCAUUAGACACGUAUGUGAUGUCUACCGGUGCUGUAUGAAAACAAUGAUCUCUAAAACGAAGAUAAUUUCCGGUAACGUUAAUUUCCGGUGCUUAUUACUAUGCAACAUAUCAGCAAAUGUGUAGUUCAAGUGAAAUAGAGGAAAACAUUUAAGGAUAAAAUUAUCGUUGAACCAUGACCAAGUUGUUUGAAUGUGCAAUGCAAUUAGUAUAACAAUGACGUAGAUUAUUUGCCUGCAUUCAGAUAACUAAGUGGAGAAAUUAAUUCAGAACAAUUACAUCACAGUAAAUGAUACAACAAUUUUUCCAUUUGGAACAUUCCUCGACUAAAGCAGUUGAACAAAACCCUGUUUUAAAGUUUAUUUAACGCAGGUAAUUGCCAUUCGAGACAGUCAACCAUUUAUUCAGUAAGAUAAUUGUAUCAAAUUACAGAAAUGUACAAAUCAAAUGUGCCAAAUGUUACUUAUUUUGUGAUUAUAUGCAUAUUUAUACAUAAUUAUUAUAUCAUUUUGAUUUAUAUAUACAUGUAUAUAUAUAUAUUUUGCCUUAAUCAAAAGUUGUAUGAUUAUCGGAAACCUCAUUAGAGUUUUCAUUAACCAGGUUUAUUUGUUAUUGGCUAUUCAAACUACAUGACUAACACUGAGAUAAAUAUGAAGACGUUCCUAUGUAACUUUUCUGCUCUGUAUUCUACCGAACUGAAUAUUUUAAGGAAUGUCUACGUAUCUAAGUAUGCCCCGUCGGUGUAAGGCAUGCAACUGUUUCAAUGGCUAGUAAAUUAUUCUGCAUAGCAAUAACAACUACAUAUCACGGCGGAACGUAUAUAUUGAUUUAUAAGCUCUAUGACUGGCUGUCCUAUUCUCUUUUGUUUGCGUCUAUACAUGGGGCAUUAUUUCGAUACGCUGUGAUUAUCAUCCCAUCUCAUCAAUAUUUUCAUUUCGUGUUUUCCCUUCAUUUUAUUUAACCUUGCCAAUUUAUGUAAUUUUUAUUCAUUGAGUUGCUGUAAAUUUCUAUAAAAAUUGGUUAGACAAAAAAUUCUUUAAGAAUCAAAUAGAAAAACCGAAAUAAGAAUCAAAGAAACAAACAAAAAUUUUUCAAAAUCAAAUUCAUAAAGACUGAAAAAAAUAUAUAACAAAGGCCACCUUGCAAAUUGUAUCCCAAAUUAUAUUUUCUUUUUUUAGAUGGACUAAGCAAAAUAAAGGAUAUACAUGUAUAUUGAUAUCAUUUGUGUGGUUAAAGGGAAGUAAUCGGUGCUGGUUUAUAAAUACAAACGUUUUUUUUAUAUUUGACGUAAUUUCCAGUCUUAUAACAUAUGUGUACAUUUGUAUUGCCUUUAAGAACAAUUCUAAUUUUUCAAUUACGGAGCAAACAGCUGAUUGCGGACGAGAAAGAAAGUUGCAAAAGAUCUCAACAUUUUGAGACAUUUAAAAGACUUGGAUCAUUUUACUGGUCUGAUAUUUUGAUUCAUUUUGAUUUAUUUUGUCAUUUUGUUCUUAAACAUUCUAUCAUUUAUGCGCUUUUUCUCAUCAAAUGGUUGCUCCUUUAUUCAAUGUGCCAUACACGCUUCAUAGCCUUUUUACCUCAGUUGCCAAUCAUUAAUUUAUUAUAUGUUGUAGUAACCAUUUGUCAACAAUUAAGCAUCGUGCAUAUUCUUGUAUUCUAACAAUUUCUAAACCCACCUGUUUUAACAAUUAACAAAUGGUGACAAAGGGGAAUCGGAAACAUUCGAUCAAAUUACCGAAUGGAUAACGAAUUUCACCGAUGUGUUAUGGUUGUGUUAUGGUCACACGGGUCAGACGGCAAGCUUAUUUACAGCUUAACAGUUUUUGGUACGGGUUUUCGCACUAGUUAAUAUAAUAUAAAUCGUUAUAGUCAAAAGGCAGUUUUUUAUUAUUCGUCAUUUUUGUUCUAUUUUAAGAAACUUUUAUUUAAAAGUAGGUCUAAUGAUUUAAGUUUCGGCAAAUUUUUAUUUUAUUUAUAAAAAAAGAUACUAGUAGGGGUUAUUAUUCAAUUUUGUUUUUUUUACAGAUGUAAACGUAUGAAAAAGUAUCAAAGACUUUGAAACAGAAAACAAACCAAAAAUAGAUAAAAAAAUGAGUAAGGAGCAAUAUGAAAUUACAAAUGUUAGAAAUUAUAAUCGGUUUAACAACUUUUAAAAGUGAAACCGGUUGUGAAAUAUAAAAAAACAAACAAACAAUACAGAUAUGACAAAACUAUGAUGAUGACAACGUUUUAAAGCUGUACUUUUGGCUAUUUCUUUAAAGAUUGUUUAAGUACUUUACCACUUUCACUUUUUUUUUAUUUUAACGGUACUUUGAAUAAUUGUCAAUGUUAUGGUUCAAGUUCCAAAUUCACAAUAACUGCACAUCUAACUGACAGAUUCUGUCUUGUACAAACUGAAAUCACCACAAAUAACUAAAAAUUUACCGCACUUAUCAACGACUAGGAACCAUAGAGUUACAUAUCAAUUUGACGGUCAUUUCAAACUACGUGUAGCAUUAUCAUACUCAUGAGAUCCUUAUUACAUUGUGUUACAUUAAUGUGUGAUUUCUACUUGCCAAUGGUAUAAGGUUUUGCAAUGUAUACAUAAUUUAGUCAUACCAAAUUCAGUGUGUUUUGUCAUUCAAAAUGAAAACAAAUUGAACCAUGUACAAGGAAAGAUAAGUCUCUGCCUACAAGCAGUAUAAAUUUAUCAUUGAAAAAAAUACAUCAUUUUUAUGAAAUAUAUUGUUUUCUGUUAUUAUGUUUUGUUUUUUGACGUUUACCUUUUUGGAAGCAAGAUAAUGAUUCAGGUAAUAAAAAAAAAUUGAAACACGUGACUAAAACAAAACACCUGUCAAUAAGCAAAGAACAAUAUAACUCGUGCAAAAGUACUUUGUCUGUCUUUGUAUUGCUGGGAGAUCUUUGACCUGAUUAUGAACUAUCAAUGGUGUUUUUAUACUGUUUGUAGACUGAUGCACAUAACCAUUAUACGAUAGAUUUUAUAUGAUUAGUUUGACUGGAUUAUGUCUAUGAAGGAGAUUUUCUGUGUUACCAUUGUUACAAUACGACAUUGUUAUUCAUGUUGACUUUGUUAUUAUUGUUGAUUUUCAUAUUAAAUUUCAAUAUAAAGAU